This 88-nucleotide non-coding RNA is filed under the name Desulfoscipio gibsoniae. RNAcentral's name for it is "Desulfotomaculum gibsoniae c-di-GMP sequence". It matches the Rfam family "c-di-GMP-I riboswitch aptamer". Rfam says of the family: GEMM was predicted in a large-scale screen for bacterial structured RNA regulatory elements. RNAcentral also lists the same sequence under 1 other name. Lineage: Bacteria; Bacillati; Bacillota; Clostridia; Eubacteriales; Desulfallaceae. The record is from RNAcentral.
UAAAGUUAAGGGCAAACCUGUCUAAAGGCAGGGACGCAAAGCCGAGGGUCUAAAGCGUUUGCCGCGCUAUGACAGCCUGGCUGCCGAU